AUUGAACGCUGGCGGCAUGCCUUACACAUGCAAGUCGAACGGCAGCGCGGGUGCUUGCACCUGGCGGCGAGUGGCGAACGGGUGAGUAAUAUAUCGGAACGUGCCCUAGAGUGGGGGAUAACGUAGCGAAAGUUACGCUAAUACCGCAUACGAUCUACGGAUGAAAGCGGGGGAUCGCAAGACCUCAUGCUCCUGGAGCGGCUGAUAUCUGAUUAGCUAGUUGGUGGGGUAAAGGCCCACCAAGGCGACGAUCAGUAGCUGGUCUGAGAGGACGACCAGCCACACUGGGACUGAGACACGGCCCAGACUCCUACGGGAGUCAGCAGUGGGGAAUUUUGGACAAUGGGGGCAGCCCUGAUCCAGCAAUGCCGCGUGAGUGAAGAAGGCCUUCGGGUUGUAAAGCUCUUUUGUCAGGGAAGAAACGGUGGGGGCUAAUACCUCCUGCUAAUGACGGUACCUGAAGAAUAAGCACCGGCUAACUACGUGCCAGCAGCCGCGGUAA
Molecule: ribosomal RNA, 502 nt
Filed under: uncultured bacterium
Lineage: Bacteria
Description: partial 16S ribosomal RNA
Rfam family: Bacterial small subunit ribosomal RNA
Source: RNAcentral